This 1452-nucleotide long non-coding RNA is filed under the name Anas platyrhynchos platyrhynchos (common mallard). Its description in RNAcentral is "lncRNA (ENSAPLG00000019669.1)". Lineage: Eukaryota; Metazoa; Chordata; Aves; Anseriformes; Anatidae. The record is from RNAcentral.
UUCACUUUGCCAAGAAACUUUAAAUGCCCUUCUGUUCCUACUAGAACUACAGGUAUGUAGUUCCUAUAUUGAAAAUUCCAAUAUCUUGUGGAAAAGAAAAUGUUAUGUCUUUGCAGAAACAAAGACAAAACAGUAGAGCAGCUGUUUUGGUAUCAUAAACUAGGCACCGUAAACUAGGUCAGAGACACUACAUGAUGAUGGCACAUGGUAUUUAGUGAGGCAACAUCUUCAAAUGAAAUUUUGGUCCAUAAAUAGGAACUUGUAUUAAGAUAGUUCAGAGCAACUUGUCUUUUUUUUUUUUUUUUUUUUUUUUUUUAAGAUACAGUUUCAAUAGUUCAAAAAUGGAGUAUAUUUUCAGCUAUCCAGAUCUUUUAGCUUCCAAAGCCACUGGACACUUAUAGGCUUAAUACAAAAAAUCUGUUUUUUUUUUUUGGUUUUUUUUUGUUUUUUUUUUUCAGAGGAAGAAACACAAGCAGUUCUCAGUAACUGAAAUUUCAAAAAAUAAAAACGGACAUAGGUUUUAAGCCAAAGCAGUUAUGUUUGGAAAUGUUGAUGUCACUGUAAACCGCAAAAAUUAUUAAAACAUGGAUCAAAAGAAAUAAAAAGCAUGGAUUUGAUCCUAUACAUAAAUCUCUUACCAAGUUUGGAGAUGUAUUUGAUUACCUAAUUGGACAAGAUAGGUUCUUCAGAUCUGUUUUACAAAACCUGGGGGGAGGGGGAAUAGGAGUGUACCUAUUUUCCUUGAAAUGCAAAUAGGUACCAAAUGAUUAUUAUUUUUUUAAAUUUAAAUCAAGAGAAGUUAAGGAUCUAAUGUCCUCUGUGUUCAUAACUGCAUAGGAAAUAUCAUUAAACUUUGCUAUAUCUUUAGAUGCCAAAGUAAAUUUGAAACUGUGAUCACUGAAGUCUGUCCUGUUUCCAUAACAGUUAUUUGGGCAUUGUUGUUUACUUCCUUGGAAACAGCAUCAGACCCUAAUGUACAAUCAAAAUCAAUAGCAAAACCUUCAUCAACUUCCAGGAAAAACAGAUCAAGUUUUGCCUUGUGCAAGCAAAAAUGUCCAAUUUUCAUCUUUAAGAUAAUGCUAGGGGCCAGAGACAGCCACCAUGAUGACAGAGUAGAGAGUUGCCGUUAUGUGCUGCAGAGGAUGGUGCUAAUUGGAUCUUCAGGGAGGGAGAGUCUUUUCUCCUGGGUCAGGAAGUCCUCAUGCAGGCAGAUGGAAUUUAAAGAUUAUCCAGAAACACCAUCCAAAACUGUCUGUAUCUGGCAGUGAUGUUGAUCGUGGUGGGAGAAGAAGAUCCUGUUUAUAUUGUCCUUGCUGCAAGGGCGUAAAUUAUGGGAUGCAUACAAACCAACCCUCAGUCUCCAUGCACUUCUUGCAGGAGGUCUGUGUUUAUAAUUGCAUAAACCAUCUGUUUAGUGUUUGCAAAAUAAACACUUGCUUUUUUGAUAGUACA